Molecule: ribosomal RNA, 771 nt
Filed under: uncultured bacterium
Lineage: Bacteria
Description: bacterial SSU rRNA
Rfam family: Bacterial small subunit ribosomal RNA
Source: RNAcentral
AGAGUUUGAUCAUGGCUCAGGAUGAACGCUGGCGGCGUGCCUAAUACAUGCAAGUCGAGCGAACAGAUAAGGAGCUUGCUCCUUUGACGUUAGCGGCGGACGGGUGAGUAACACGUGGGUAACCUACCUAUAAGACUGGAAUAACUCCGGGAAACCGGGGCUAAUGCCGGAUAACAUUUAGAACCGCAUGGUUCUAAAGUGAAAGAUGGUUUUGCUAUCACUUAUAGAUGGACCCGCGCCGUAUUAGCUAGUUGGUAAGGUAACGGCUUACCAAGGCAACGAUACGUAGCCGACCUGAGAGGGUGAUCGGCCACACUGGAACUGAGACACGGUCCAGACUCCUACGGGAGGCAGCAGUAGGGAAUCUUCCGCAAUGGGCGAAAGCCUGACGGAGCAACGCCGCGUGAGUGAUGAAGGUCUUCGGAUCGUAAAACUCUGUUAUUAGGGAAGAACAAAUGUGUAAGUAACUAUGCACGUCUUGACGGUACCUAAUCAGAAAGCCACGGCUAACUACGUGCCAGCAGCCGCGGUAAUACGUAGGUGGCAAGCGUUAUCCGGAAUUAUUGGGCGUAAAGCGCGCGUAGGCGGUUUCUUAAGUCUGAUGUGAAAGCCCACGGCUCAACCGUGGAGGGUCAUUGGAAACUGGGAAACUUGAGUGCAGAAGAGGAAAGUGGAAUUCCAUGUGUAGCGGUGAAAUGCGCAGAGAUAUGGAGGAACACCAGUGGCGAAGGCGACUUUCUGGUCUGUAACUGACGCUGAUGUGCGAAAGCG